CAGUAGCCGCGGUAAUACAGAGGGUGCGAGCGUUAAUCGGAUUUACUGGGCGUAAAGCGUGCGUAGGCGGCUAAUUGAGUCGGAUGUGAAAUCCCCGAGCUUAACUUGGGAAUUGCAUUCGAUACUGGUUAGCUAGAGUGUGGGAGAGGAUGGUAGAAUUCCAGGUGUAGCGGUGAAAUGCGUAGAGAUCUGGAGGAAUACCGAUGGCGAAGGCAGCCAUCUGGCCUAACACUGACGCUGAGGUACGAAAGCAUGGGGAGCAAACAGGAUUAGAUACCCGUGUAGUCCAUGUCUCUUAUAC
RNAcentral lists this ribosomal RNA (301 nucleotides) under uncultured bacterium. RNAcentral's name for it is "partial 16S ribosomal RNA". It matches the Rfam family "Bacterial small subunit ribosomal RNA", at positions 509 to 807 of the family's 1533-position model. The record is from RNAcentral.